Molecule: transfer RNA, 72 nt
Filed under: Diaphorina citri (Asian citrus psyllid)
Lineage: Eukaryota; Metazoa; Arthropoda; Insecta; Hemiptera; Psyllidae
Rfam family: tRNA
About the family: Transfer RNA (tRNA) molecules are approximately 80 nucleotides in length. Their secondary structure includes four short double-helical elements and three loops (D, anti-codon, and T loops). Further hydrogen bonds mediate the characteristic L-shaped molecular structure. tRNAs have two regions of fundamental functional importance: the anti-codon, which is responsible for specific mRNA codon recognition, and the 3' end, to which the tRNAs corresponding amino acid is attached (by aminoacyl-tRNA synthetases). tRNAs cope with the degeneracy of the genetic code in two manners: having more than one tRNA (with a specific anti-codon) for a particular amino acid; and 'wobble' base-pairing, i.e. permitting non-standard base-pairing at the 3rd anti-codon position.
Source: Rfam by way of RNAcentral
GUCUCGGUGGUGUAGUGGUCAGGACGCUCGCUUGGUAAACAGGAGGACGUGGGUUCGAUUCCACCCGAAGUA